RNAcentral lists this ribosomal RNA (2930 nucleotides) under Escherichia coli. Its description in RNAcentral is "bacterial LSU rRNA". It matches the Rfam family "Bacterial large subunit ribosomal RNA". Lineage: Bacteria; Pseudomonadati; Pseudomonadota; Gammaproteobacteria; Enterobacterales; Enterobacteriaceae. The record is from RNAcentral.
GGGUUGUGAGGUUAAGCGACUAAGCGUACACGGUGGAUGCCCUGGCAGUCAGAGGCGAUGAAGGACGUGCUAAUCUGCGAUAAGCGUCGGUAAGGUGAUAUGAACCGUUAUAACCGGCGAUUUCCGAAUGGGGAAACCCAGUGUGUUUCGACACACUAUCAUUAACUGAAUCCAUAGGUUAAUGAGGCGAACCGGGGGAACUGAAACAUCUAAGUACCCCGAGGAAAAGAAAUCAACCGAGAUUCCCCCAGUAGCGGCGAGCGAACGGGGAGGAGCCCAGAGCCUGAAUCAGUGUGUGUGUUAGUGGAAGCGUCUGGAAAGGCGCGCGAUACAGGGUGACAGCCCCGUACACAAAAAUGCACAUAUUGUGAGCUCGAUGAGUAGGGCGGGACACGUGGUAUCCUGUCUGAAUAUGGGGGGACCAUCCUCCAAGGCUAAAUACUCCUGACUGACCGAUAGUGAACCAGUACCGUGAGGGAAAGGCGAAAAGAACCCCGGCGAGGGGAGUGAAAAAGAACCUGAAACCGUGUACGUACAAGCAGUGGGAGCACGCUUAGGCGUGUGACUGCGUACCUUUUGUAUAAUGGGUCAGCGACUUAUAUUCUGUAGCAAGGUUAACCGAAUAGGGGAGCCGGAGGGAAACCGAGUCUUAACUGGGCGUUAAGUUGCAGGGUAUAGACCCGAAACCCGGUGAUCUAGCCAUGGGCAGGUUGAAGGUUGGGUAACACUAACUGGAGGACCGAACCGACUAAUGUUGAAAAAUUAGCGGAUGACUUGUGGCUGGGGGUGAAAGGCCAAUCAAACCGGGAGAUAGCUGGUUCUCCCCGAAAGCUAUUUAGGUAGCGCCUCGUGAAUUCAUCUCCGGGGGUAGAGCACUGUUUCGGCAAGGGGGUCAUCCCGACUUACCAACCCGAUGCAAACUGCGAAUACCGGAGAAUGUUAUCACGGGAGACACACGGCGGGUGCUAACGUCCGUCGUGAAGAGGGAAACAACCCAGACCGCCAGCUAAGGUCCCAAAGUCAUGGUUAAGUGGGAAACGAUGUGGGAAGGCCCAGACAGCCAGGAUGUUGGCUUAGAAGCAGCCAUCAUUUAAAGAAAGCGUAAUAGCUCACUGGUCGAGUCGGCCUGCGCGGAAGAUGUAACGGGGCUAAACCAUGCACCGAAGCUGCGGCAGCGACGCUGAUGCGUUGUUGGGUAGGGGAGCGUUCUGUAAGCCUGCGAAGGUGUGCUGUGAGGCAUGCUGGAGGUAUCAGAAGUGCGAAUGCUGACAUAAGUAACGAUAAAGCGGGUGAAAAGCCCGCUCGCCGGAAGACCAAGGGUUCCUGUCCAACGUUAAUCGGGGCAGGGUGAGUCGACCCCUAAGGCGAGGCCGAAAGGCGUAGUCGAUGGGAAACAGGUUAAUAUUCCUGUACUUGGUGUUACUGCGAAGGGGGGACGGAGAAGGCUAUGUUGGCCGGGCGACGGUUGUCCCGGUUUAAGCGUGUAGGCUGGUUUUCCAGGCAAAUCCGGAAAAUCAAGGCUGAGGCGUGAUGACGAGGCACUACGGUGCUGAAGCAACAAAUGCCCUGCUUCCAGGAAAAGCCUCUAAGCAUCAGGUAACAUCAAAUCGUACCCCAAACCGACACAGGUGGUCAGGUAGAGAAUACCAAGGCGCUUGAGAGAACUCGGGUGAAGGAACUAGGCAAAAUGGUGCCGUAACUUCGGGAGAAGGCACGCUGAUAUGUAGGUGAAGUCCCUCGCGGAUGGAGCUGAAAUCAGUCGAAGAUACCAGCUGGCUGCAACUGUUUAUUAAAAACACAGCACUGUGCAAACACGAAAGUGGACGUAUACGGUGUGACGCCUGCCCGGUGCCGGAAGGUUAAUUGAUGGGGUCAGCGCAAGCGAAGCUCUUGAUCGAAGCCCCGGUAAACGGCGGCCGUAACUAUAACGGUCCUAAGGUAGCGAAAUUCCUUGUCGGGUAAGUUCCGACCUGCACGAAUGGCGUAAUGAUGGCCAGGCUGUCUCCACCCGAGACUCAGUGAAAUUGAACUCGCUGUGAAGAUGCAGUGUACCCGCGGCAAGACGGAAAGACCCCGUGAACCUUUACUAUAGCUUGACACUGAACAUUGAGCCUUGAUGUGUAGGAUAGGUGGGAGGCUUGGAAGUGUGGACGCCAGUCUGCAUGGAGCCGACCUUGAAAUACCACCCUUUAAUGUUUGAUGUUCUAACGUUGACCCGUAAUCCGGGUUGCGGACAGUGUCUGGUGGGUAGUUUGACUGGGGCGGUCUCCUCCUAAAGAGUAACGGAGGAGCACGAAGGUUGGCUAAUCCUGGUCGGACAUCAGGAGGUUAGUGCAAUGGCAUAAGCCAGCUUGACUGCGAGCGUGACGGCGCGAGCAGGUGCGAAAGCAGGUCAUAGUGAUCCGGUGGUUCUGAAUGGAAGGGCCAUCGCUCAACGGAUAAAAGGUACUCCGGGGAUAACAGGCUGAUACCGCCCAAGAGUUCAUAUCGACGGCGGUGUUUGGCACCUCGAUGUCGGCUCAUCACAUCCUGGGGCUGAAGUAGGUCCCAAGGGUAUGGCUGUUCGCCAUUUAAAGUGGUACGCGAGCUGGGUUUAGAACGUCGUGAGACAGUUCGGUCCCUAUCUGCCGUGGGCGCUGGAGAACUGAGGGGGGCUGCUCCUAGUACGAGAGGACCGGAGUGGACGCAUCACUGGUGUUCGGGUUGUCAUGCCAAUGGCACUGCCCGGUAGCUAAAUGCGGAAGAGAUAAGUGCUGAAAGCAUCUAAGCACGAAACUUGCCCCGAGAUGAGUUCUCCCUGACCCUUUAAGGGUCCUGAAGGAACGUUGAAGACGACGACGUUGAUAGGCCGGGUGUGUAAGCGCAGCGAUGCGUUGAGCUAACCGGUACUAAUGAACCGUGAGGCUUAACCUUACAACGCCGAAGCUGUU